UCAGAAACCCGUGGCGAUUUGUUACCGGAUUGCGGGCCACGUUAAACAUGCCGCUAAAGAGGUCAGGACGUGAAAGCC
RNAcentral lists this non-coding RNA (78 nucleotides) under Pseudaestuariivita atlantica. Lineage: Bacteria; Pseudomonadati; Pseudomonadota; Alphaproteobacteria; Rhodobacterales; Paracoccaceae. The record is from RNAcentral.